GUAUUGUCUAACCAAAAUAACUUUUUUUCUCAUGUAAUAAAAUAUUUUUUGUAACAGUCUUGUUUUUGCACUAAAAUACUAUUGGACAUAUAUGGAAAUAUAUUGGACAAAAUAAUCUUUUACAAAAUCUUCCAUAAAAUAGACUAGCUUCGUUUGCAGUAUUUGAUUUGUGUAAUCAGGAGAAAAGAGAGAGAUCUCAGAAAAUUAUUUGUUAAAGUAAAAAGAUUGUAUCAAGUUUUAGGUAAUAAGCUAUUAAUGUGCUUUGAAAGUUUAACGUUAUAAAGGAUACCAUGUGUAAUUUCAAAGAGUUUAACACAAAGCACAACCCCUACAUGGAAAUAUUUUCUACGCAAUAAAGAAUGUGAAACAGCUAUGUGUAAACUAAGUCAUUGCAAAAAAAUAUUAGAAUUUGUUCGCACUUCAUAGGCAUCAACUUCAGUUACAUAAAUUUAAAAAUAGAAACAGCACGUUCUCCGGCAUCGGAAAAAGUCUCACAGAAUAAAAUUAGUUUAUAUUUUUUCAUAGAAUAUGAAUAAAGAAGUGUCUGAAGCGCUAGCAAGAACGACAGCUAAUAAUGUAAUAUAAUUUAAAGUAUUAUGUAUUUCUAUUGAUAAAUGAAGUAUUGGCAUUUAAGCAAUAUGCUGUAUUGGCAUUUAGGCAAUUUACCUUUACCCCUAAAUCUUCUUAUACCGUAAAAAAAAAUGGAACUGAUUUCGCUUACAAAAUAAAAGAUGCUCUCAGAAAUGAAUUACGAAAAAAAUUGAAAGGGGAAGAUAAUUUUUGCAAUUUUAGGUGUAUAUUGUUUAUUUAGUUUUAUUGUUGGAAUAAUACCAGCUGAAAAGUA
This is a non-coding RNA of Hydra vulgaris (swiftwater hydra), 844 nucleotides long. NCBI's taxonomy places the organism in Eukaryota, Metazoa, Cnidaria, Hydrozoa, Anthoathecata, Hydridae. The record is from RefSeq and is a predicted model, not a curated record.